RNAcentral lists this unclassified non-coding RNA (313 nucleotides) under plant metagenome. Its description in RNAcentral is "partial contains 5.8S ribosomal RNA, internal transcribed spacer 2, and large subunit ribosomal RNA". The stretch from base 1 to 105 matches the Rfam family "5.8S ribosomal RNA", at positions 50 to 154 of the family's 154-position model. The record is from RNAcentral.
GAAAUGCGAUAAGUAAUGUGAAUUGCAGAAUUCCGUGAUUCAUCGAAUCUUUGAACGCACAUUGCGCCCUCUGGCAUUCCGGGGGGCAUGCCUGUCCGAGCGUCAUUACGCACCCUCAAGCCCGGCUUGUGUGAUGGGCCCCGGCGUCUCGUUCGCGAGACGGGCCCGAAAGGCAGCGGCGGCGUCGACCCGAUGAGCCCGAGCGUAUGGGGACUUCUGUCACACGUUCGCGGUGCGGACCGGCGCCUGCUUUGACUUUUCUGAUUAUCCAGGUUGACCUCGGAUCAGGUAGGGAUACCCGCUGAACUUAAGC